UGUCUAUUGAUAAGACAGAAAACCUA
Molecule: non-coding RNA, 26 nt
Filed under: Rattus norvegicus (Norway rat)
Lineage: Eukaryota; Metazoa; Chordata; Mammalia; Rodentia; Muridae
Source: RNAcentral